This 1400-nucleotide long non-coding RNA is filed under the name Rattus norvegicus (Norway rat). RNAcentral describes it as "long non-coding RNA NONRATT033229". The record is from RNAcentral. Lineage: Eukaryota; Metazoa; Chordata; Mammalia; Rodentia; Muridae.
CAAGGUUUUCCUUUGUAAUGUAACAUUCUUCUUGUUUCCAAUGGUUGGUAGAUACUCAGACCAGAUAACCUUUCAUAGUCCAUUUCAGGCUGAAAAUUUUGCGAUCUACCAUCAGAUCACUAAGGUGAGAACCUCGAUUAUUAUUUAGCAUAUGCCCAACAUAAUGGAUAUCACAAAUAAUCUUUGUUUGAAAUCAUAACAGCAACUUGAAUUUGUGUUAUGUUUAGGUUUCCUACUAGUCCAGACGUCACUGCAGCCCAUACACCCCGGAACAGACUGUGAACCACGGUGGGGCCCAUAUGGAAGGAGCCAGCAGAAGCUAAAGAACUUAUCUCCUGAGAGGGUUGGAUUUGAAGAAGUGGAAGCAGGUCUGUAUCAUCCAGAAGAGACUAAGGGAAUGAGCAUGGUAGGGGAUGGUACACAGUGUGCAGUUGGCAGACUCUUGGUGGUCUUCCAUAAAAGAACACUAGUUAGUCAAGAGCAAGGCCAAGUGAAAUGAAAAAGGCAGUCACAAGAGCUACAGCAACAGGAAAAGAUGGUGGACAAACAAAGCAGCCAACUUACAUGAGUCUUCUGAGUUUUCUUUCAACUGUUUCCUUUGUGUACCUUGACUGAACACCACUUCUGUAAUACUGUUAUAGCUGGACAAAUUAGGGAUUGUAGUAAAUAGGUGAAUCCUGUCCAGAUGGCACCAGAGCCAAAUAAUAAUGCCUGCUAAUGCUCAGGAGAUCAUCUGUAAAGUAAUGUAUUUUAAUGAAAUGAAUAUACAUCCUGUUCGGUACUGUUUUCUACUUUCCUAGUCCUUGCAAUGGCACCCAAAGGGAGAGAAGGUAGGUGAUAUGCUAUAUUUACCUAUAUAAUUGGCUUCUUCUAGUCUUCCCUUGCAUUUUAUUUAACAUAUAGGUCUUAUGGUGUACGAGGGGAUUUGGGCAUCCAUCUUCUGGCUUCCGUGGCUUCAGUCAUCACCAUUAACCUUUAAACAUCAUUAUCUUGAAACUAUGACUCACAGAGAUUUUUCCAACCAUCACAGGCAAAUUGAAUAGGAAAUUCCUGUCUCCUUCCACUUUAUCAUUCAUUUCUUACAGUUGUAUAGUGUAGGUUGAUGUCUAUAGGUAGGUAAGGGCUGGCACAUGUUAGGUCAAGCCCAUGAUUGGAUAGUAAAAAUAUAAGGCGGGGACAAAACUUUUGUAAGGUGAAGAGAGAAGGGGAAGGAGGAGGAGAAUCAAGAUGGUGACAGAGAAAGAUGAUCCAGACCUGAGUGGUCUUGAAUUGCCAAGGUAGUUAUGCAUAUUUCUUAAGGGAUGGAUUUCUGUAGGCAAGUUUAACUUAUCUAGAUGGGCUAUUUAUAUUCUUAUCAAUUGGUUGUGAGUUUGUUGUAUGGAUGUAUUGUAGAUUGAGAC